Molecule: non-coding RNA, 216 nt
Organism: Caenorhabditis elegans
Lineage: Eukaryota; Metazoa; Nematoda; Chromadorea; Rhabditida; Rhabditidae
Source: Ensembl
CUCUCUCAUGAGUUAUAUUUUGCUUCUACUUUACAAUUUCAUUUUCACAGCUUCUCAGAUCUCAGCUUUCCUGGCAAUCACAUUUCACUAAUGAGUCUUGCGGUCGAGUAGGACACAGAACGAUAAAGUAUCAGGUUACUUAAAUCCGUUGUUCCUGGAACCUCCGUCAUCGAUCCGGCUUAACAUCGGGAAAACUGCGGGUGUGGAUUCUUUGAC